UACAGAGGGGGCGAGCGUUGCUCGGAAUUACUGGGCGUAAAGGGCGCGUAGGCGGCCCGCUAAGUCGAACGUGAAAUCCCCAGGCUCAACCUGGGAACUGCGUCCGAUACUGGCAGGCUUGAAUCCGGGAGAGGGAUGUGGAAUUCCAGGUGUAGCGGUGAAAUGCGUAGAUAUCUGGAGGAACACCGGUGGCGAAGGCGGCAUCCUGGACCGGUAUUGACGCUGAGGCGCGAAAGCUAGGGGAGCAAACGGG
RNAcentral lists this ribosomal RNA (253 nucleotides) under uncultured bacterium. RNAcentral describes it as "partial 16S ribosomal RNA". It matches the Rfam family "Bacterial small subunit ribosomal RNA", at positions 524 to 776 of the family's 1533-position model. The record is from RNAcentral.